CCUACGGGUGGCAGCAGUAGGGAAUAUUGCUCAAUGGGGGAAACCCUGAAGCAGCAACGCCGCGUGGAGGAUGAAGGUUUUCGGAUUGUAAACUCCUGUUGUUAGAGAAGAUAAUGACGGUAUCUAACGAAUAAGCACCGGCUAACUCCGUGCCAGCAGCCGCGGUAAUACGGAGGGUGCAAGCGUUACUCGGAAUCACUGGGCGGAAAGAGCGCGUAGGCGGGAUAGCAAGUCAGAUGUGAAAUCCUAUGGCUUAACCAUAGAACUGCCUUUGAAACUGUUAUUCUAGAGUAUGGGAGAGGUAGGUGGAAUUCUUGGUGUAGGGGUAAAAUCCGUAGAGAUCAAGAGGAAUACUCAUGGCGAAGGCGACCUGCUAGAACAUAACUGACGCUGAUGAGCGAAAGCGUGGGGAGCAAACAGGAUUAGAUACCCUUGUAGUC
This 440-nucleotide ribosomal RNA is filed under the name uncultured bacterium. RNAcentral's name for it is "partial 16S ribosomal RNA". It matches the Rfam family "Bacterial small subunit ribosomal RNA", at positions 338 to 795 of the family's 1533-position model. The record is from RNAcentral.